This is a non-coding RNA of Mycena alexandri, 126 nucleotides long. The record is from the annotation of a GenBank genome assembly. NCBI's taxonomy places the organism in Eukaryota, Fungi, Basidiomycota, Agaricomycetes, Agaricales, Mycenaceae.
GGUUGGAUGGCCGAGCGGUCUAAGGCGCCAGACUAAGGAUCCACAUCGAUUUAGAUGUUCAACUUAUCGAUUUCAUUAUCGGUAAUCUGGUCCGAAAGGGCAUGGGUUCGAAUCCCAUUCCAAUCA